RNAcentral lists this transfer RNA (73 nucleotides) under bacterium. Its description in RNAcentral is "tRNA-Val". It matches the Rfam family "tRNA". Rfam says of the family: Transfer RNA (tRNA) molecules are approximately 80 nucleotides in length. Their secondary structure includes four short double-helical elements and three loops (D, anti-codon, and T loops). Further hydrogen bonds mediate the characteristic L-shaped molecular structure. tRNAs have two regions of fundamental functional importance: the anti-codon, which is responsible for specific mRNA codon recognition, and the 3' end, to which the tRNAs corresponding amino acid is attached (by aminoacyl-tRNA synthetases). tRNAs cope with the degeneracy of the genetic code in two manners: having more than one tRNA (with a specific anti-codon) for a particular amino acid; and 'wobble' base-pairing, i.e. permitting non-standard base-pairing at the 3rd anti-codon position. RNAcentral also lists the same sequence under 1 other name. The record is from RNAcentral.
GGGCGGAUAGCUCAGUUGGUAGAGCGCCUGCCUUACAAGCAGGAUGUCGCAGGUUCAAGUCCUGUUCCGCCUA